GUGGGGUGGAGCGCGGCCGGCGGCCGCCCCCGGCCGGUCUCGGGCCCGCAGCCCGCCCGCCUGAGCCUCGGCCGGCCCGGCCCGGGGCGGCGGCCGGAGCCCGGAGUGCGCGCCCGGCUCCCCUCCCCCCGCGGGUAAGUGGAAGUCAGGAGGGACCCAGGAGGGAGGCCGGGAGCGAUCGGCGCCUCGGCGGCAGCGGCGCCGGCAACUUUUCCGCGCCUGGCUCGUGGGCGGAGUGGGGCUGCGCCCGGCGGGUCCCCAAGAGCGUUGCGAGAAGGCGAGGGCGCCGCCCCGCGCGCCUUGAGCGCCCCGCCGCCCGGGGUGGGUCGGGGAUCGGGGACAGUGCGUCUGACGGUGGCGACGGCGGCCGCGGAGUCCCGGGGCGCCCCCUACGGAGCGGGGGAAGGGCGGCCCGGCCUCUGUUCCCUUCCCAGUGGCCCCUCCACCCCGACCCCCCAGGGGACGCAUGGGAAUGCGGUGGGGAGGGCGGGUCCCCGCGCGACUUGGGCAGGUCAAGGUGGGCAGAGAGUUGUCAGGGUGGGAGGGCUUGUGUCCGGCUCGGACAUGGGGCUUGGGUUGAGGGGCUUGGAUAUGCAUAUGCCUACCCCACUCCUAGCCCCCCGACCUGGCCUUUGGACGGGAGGAAUGGGUUGGGGGGGUCUCUCAGAGUUCUUUGGGUGGGGGCGGGGGUGGAUACCGGUCCAAGUUCUUGACGUGUCGCCCGCUGGGUAGGGGGAAGGUCUCUUGUUGGGCAGGGGCUGGUGGGAGCUGGGGGGAUGUCUCCUUUCCCUUCGGAGAAAAGCGCUCAUUCAAGGUUGCAUAGGAAGGAAAGCCAGGUUGGGGACCAGCCCUGUGCAGCUUGGGGUCCCCGUGCCUUUUGGCUGAAGGAGGAGGUUAAAAGGGCCCAGACUGAACCCCGACCCCUCUGUCUUAGCCCCAGACUGUUUUCUGAUUUUAGCACUAGAUUUGGCUGCCCCUAAAGCCCUUAGCCCUAACUGACCUUCCUGCCCAGCCCAGCCCAGCCCAGCCCAGCCAGGCCCCAGACCCAGUGGCUUCUUGAAUGUUUUGGCUGUGCAGCUGGCUCCUUGUCACCUGCCCCCUUCCCAACCUUCCCCAGCUGGCAGCCUCUGACUCCUGGUCUAUGAGGGUGAGGCUGGGGGCUGGGGGACCCCUGGCAUAAGGGGUGUCCUCUGGCAGUCCUGCCCCAGCUGGAGGGCUGUACCCAACAGGUGCCCAGGCUUAGAGGCGAGGUGAUGUUGGACACACCCUGUCCGCUCGCCCACAUGCCCUGCCCGGGCCAGCCUGGGUACAUGUGUUCACAUGCCGAUGUCCUGGGAAGGCACAGGCCCUGGGGCUGGUGCUAGCUUUGUUCUCUGAUCCCGUGAGGCACCCAUGGCCCUCUGCCCUUGCAGCACGUCCUCUGGGAGCUCCUUCAAGACCCCAACAGGCAGGCCUUGCCUGUGGAUCUAGAGGGGGCCCUAAAAUAGGUGCCGGCCUGGCCUGGGGCUGGCACGCGGAGCACAUGCGUGACAGGGCGUGUCCAGAGGGUCGGGCCUGUCUGUGCUGGCCUGGCCACUGAGCCUCCGCCGACCCUUGCUCGCUGGAGAAAGACAGCAGAGGCGGAUGCUUUAGGAGGGACCCCCGUGUCGUGCCCACCCUCUAACAAUGCAAGUGGACGCCAGAUGUUCCAUGCAGACCGCAGCUGCGGGGCAGGCCCCCAUCUAUCUGCAAUCCCAGGGUAAUUAGCCCGGUGGGUACACUGGGGUGACCCGCUCGCCCGAUCUAGGUGGUGCUUUGAUACCUCUUAAAGCAUUUUUUGGAGUUUGCCCUUCACCUUGGAAAGCUGGGUGGGGGAUUCUGUCCUCCAUGAAUAACGGCGCCAGGAACCUUGGGCGAUCUUGAGAAAACUCCUUCCUGUAACCUCUGUUUUCCACGUUGGAUGUGUUUUAGGCCACAGUCAGGCCUGGCUUUUUUUUUUUUUUUUUUUUAAGACUUAUUCCAUGACCUUAAGCCCCAGUCUGAAUCUCUGAGCCUUAAUUAUUCUAUCUAUAAAUGGGAAGCAUUUGGAAAUGGGACGGAGAGAAGUGUACACUUUGCCCCUGGCCGCCUUCUUCCCUCCUGGUGUCCUGGGUGGACACGGAGGUGUGUCUGGGGAAGGUGUGUCCUUUAGGGCCGGUCGCCUGGGAAGGAUGUUGAGCGGAGGGCAGUGGGUGUGGGUGAGAAUCCCUGGGCAGAGAAGGGCGCCGCCAUGCUGGGCACGGCUGAGUCACGCUCCAGCGACGCCUUGCCCCAGGGUGCUGGAGCUGGCGCCACCCUGGGUGUGGUCACUGAGCUGUGGCCCUGGGCAGAGCAGGGCUGGGUGGUCUAGGAUGUGGGGCCUCGGUGCCUGGGGAACUGACUUCGAAGAUGCCAAGCCCCCUGGCCUCCCGCCUGGCCUAGGUUCUGGGGUCACCCUCCAGGACUGUGGUGGCCCACACCCUGAGAAUGCCUUGGAGAGCCUAGAGGCCCUGAGCCUUGGGCCUGGGAAUCGGUGCGUUGAGGGAGGUGGAUAGGGCGCAGACACCAGUGACUGCAUUCAAGGCCAGGGGACCCCCACAGCCAGGCCCUCACUGCAAAAUGUACCUAUGUGGGGAGAAGGCAGGGGUGGACCUGAUGACGGGGUGUACCACUCUACUAAGGGUUCCCAACAUGAAGGUGAGGGGGCCCCUGGGAAUUCUGUGAUUGGUCUGGGAAAGAUUAAAGUCUAAGUGGGGGUUAGAGUGUGGACUGGCGGGACGCAAUGGGGGCUGGGAUGUCACUUUCAUGGUUCCCCUAUUUAUAACAAGUGAUUCAGCCCUCACUUACUCACCCCUUCCUGAGCCUCCCCCCACCCCAGCCCUGGGUGGGCAGCGGGGCCCACCCACUUGUCAGUGCCCUGACUUUCCCUACCCAGUGCCACCCUCUGAGGGCUGCCCAUCGGGGCGGUUGUUAUUGUCGCUGCACUGGGAUUGGGGCAGAGGGGCGGGGGGCUCCUGGUCAGGCGGCGCUUGGCCGGGCAGCCCAGGUUGGCGGCUGGCUCGAGGCCCAGCCCACGGAGCUUCUGCUGAGAGUCUGGGCCCAUUAGGCAAAGCGUUAGUGACAGGCUGGGAGGGCGGGUGGCGCGGCGGGCAGGGCGGGGCCUGCAGCCCUUGGUAUUUUCCGAUCCCAGCUGCUCUGUGAGGGUGGAAAGUAUUUGGGGACCAGGCUUGGGGGCGGAGGUGGUGGUGGCGCCCCCGGCGGAAGCUGCCCCUGAUUCAUUCUUGGAGCAUGGGGUUGGGGGGGUAGCGGUACACAUACAUACCCUUGUGUGUCUGGUCCACGCACACGCUGUCUGGAGGGGGUAUUCAGGCAUACCCACAUGCAUUGGCUGGCCGGGGUGUCCUGAUGCAGCCUGGGGCCUGCUUUGCUCCCCAGCCCAGGGGCCCGCCCUCUCCCUCAUGCCUCCAGCUGCUAGGAGCUUGGUUUCCCCCUGGACACCAUCUCCCAAGAGCCUGAGAAGUGCACCAUGAUUGGUAAAGGGGACCCUGUCUCCUGGGCACCUGCAUGGCAGCACCCCUUCCACUCAAGACCCAGACCUUUUGUGCCUGCGGGGAUGGGGAGUGGCCUUGGCCCCGGCCCUGGGCUCUGUGCAGGGGAAACCCCACAGGAAACGAGCCUGGCCAAAUGGCCGCCCUUCCCGUUCUCGUCCCUGGGACACGAAUGUGCUGUCUCACUUCCGGAGGCGGCCCAGGGAGGCUGGCCGCCCUGCGGGGCCUCGCCUGCUCCCAGUUGGCGCCUCCAGACCCUAAGGGGACAGGGCUGGGCUGGGGCCUGAUGGGAAAGAGUGGCUGGUAUGUGUGUAUGUGUGUAUAGGGAGGGGACAAAACAGGACAUCACUCGCCGCCUGUCUCGAAGUGGUGAGCGCCACCACAUCGGGCGGACACUGGGGUCCUGGUGUGAGACACCCACGUUUCCGUUAUCCUUUGCCUUGGCAAAGACAGCAGCAGCUCUGUCGUGAUCAUGUUUAUCACUCAUGGGGUCCUCACCAUGACUUAUGAAGUCCAUACUUAUUAUCCCUGUUUUGCAGAUGGGGAAGCUGAGGCCCAGAGAGGUUGAGUGACUUGCCCAGAGUCACCCAGCUCAGAAGCUGCAGAGCUGGGGCUUUCAAAUCUGGGCAGACUUGGGCUCCAAAACUGGAGUCUGCUAGCCAGGUGUUGGGCUCUUAUCAAAAGAAGCUCCACUCACUAAAGACUUAGGGCUGGCUUCAUGCAUUUGUGAAACGGGCAGUCUCACGGCAGCCCUGCUUGGAGGGACCUGGAGGUUAGUUUAAUGUUGCACUGCUGGGGUCAUGAAUUUUUUUUUAUUAUUAUUAAUUUUUUUGUCUUGUAUUGCCCAGGCUGGUCUCGAACUCCUGGCCCCAAGCGAUCUUCCUGUCUUGGCCUCCCGAAGUGCCGGGAUUAUAGGGAUGAGCCACCGCGCUCAGCCUGAAAUUAUUUUCUUUUUUUAAACUUGUUUUUGUUUAUUUUAGAGAUAGGGUCUUGCUCUGUCACUUAGGCUGGAGUUCAGUGGCAUGGUCAUAGAUCACGGCAGCCUCAAACUCCUGGGCUCAAGCAGUCCUCCCACCUCAGCCGCCUGAGUAGCUGGGGCUACAGAUGUGUACCACCACUCCUGGCUGAUUUUUUAGUGAAUUUUUUGUGGGCCAGACACUGUGGCUCAGGCCUGUAAGCCCAGCACUUUGGGAGGCUGAGGCAGGCGGAUUGCUUGAGCCCAGGAGUUGGAGACCAGUCUGGGCAACAUGGCAAAACCCCAUCUCUACAAAAAUUAGGGCCAGGUGUGGUGGCUCACGCCUGUAAUCCCAGCACUUUGGAAAGCCGAGGUGGGCGGAUCACCUGAGGUCAGGAGGUCGAGACCAGCCUGGCCAACAUGGUGAAACCCCGUCUCUACUAAAAAUACAAAACUUAACUGGGCGUGGUGGCGGGCACCUGUAAUCCCAGCUACUCGGGAGGCUGAAGCAGGAGAAUUGCUUGAACUCUGGAGGUGGAGGUUGCAGUGAACCGAGAUCACGCCAUUGCACUCCAGCCUGGGCGACAGGGCGAGACUCUGUCUCAAAAAAAAAAAAAAAGAAAAGAAAAAGAAAAAAUUAGCCGGGCAUGGUGGUGCAUAGCUGUAGUCCCAGCUACCCCGGAGGCUAAGGUGGGAGGAUCACUUGAACCUGGGAGGCUGAGGCUGCAGUGAGCUGUGAUUGCACCCCUGCACUCUAGCCGUGGCGACAGAGUGAGACCCUGUCUCAAAAAAGAAAAAAUAUUUUUUUUUUUUGUAGAGAUGGGGUAUUGUCGUAUUGCGCAGGCUGGUCUUGAACUCCUGGCCUCAGGUGACUCUCCUGCCUCGGCCUCCCAAAGUGCUGGGAUUACAGGCGUGAGCCGCCAUGCUUGGCCUGAAAUUCUUAGUUUUCGAACUAGAGGACCACGUGUUCAUUUUGCACCGGGUCCUGAAAAUCCUGUAUCUUGCCCUGGUGCUGGGCACUUACUGAGUGACAUACAUACUCGGUGACAUCUCACUGGGCUAUGCAAAAGAGGCUCUUGGCUCCAUUUUACAGAUGGGGAAACUGAAGCUUUGGAGAGUCUUUGGGAAACUGUGGAGCAAGGAUUUGAACCUUGGGCUGUUUGGGUGGAGAGGCCUGUAUCUUGGAGCUUGGAUCCUG
RNAcentral lists this long non-coding RNA (5698 nucleotides) under Homo sapiens (human). RNAcentral describes it as "LHRI_LNC331.1". Lineage: Eukaryota; Metazoa; Chordata; Mammalia; Primates; Hominidae. The record is from RNAcentral.